Molecule: ribosomal RNA, 333 nt
Filed under: uncultured Butyrivibrio sp.
Lineage: Bacteria; Bacillati; Bacillota; Clostridia; Lachnospirales; Lachnospiraceae
Description: bacterial SSU rRNA
Rfam family: Bacterial small subunit ribosomal RNA
Source: RNAcentral
GAUGAACGCUGGCGGCGUGCCUAACACAUGCAAGUCGAACGGGGAUAUUCCGCCGUUUGAAGCUUCGGCAGAGAACAUGGGAUAUCUUAGUGGCGAACGGGUGAGUAACGCGUGGGCAACCUCGCCCCGUACCGGGGGAUAGCAGUUGGAAACGACUGAUAAUACCGCAUAAGCGCACGGUCUCGCAUGAGACAGUGUGAAAACUCCGGUGGUACGGGAUGGGCCCGCGUCUGAUUAGCCAGUUGGCGGGGUAACGGCCCACCUGGCCUACGAUCAGUAGGGGUUCUGAGAGGAAGGUCCCCCACACUGGUACUGAGACACGGACCAGACUCC